UACGUAGGGUGCGAGCGUUUGUCCGGAAUUAUUGGGCGUAAAGGGCUCGUAGGCGGUUUGUCGCGUCGGGAGUGAAAUCACUGGGCUUAACCGAGUGCUUGCUUUCGAUACGGGCAGACUUGAGGCAUUCAGGGGAGAACGGAAUUCCUGGUGUAGCGGUGAAAUGCGCAGAUAUCAGGAGGAACACCGGUGGCGAAGGCGGUUCUCUGGGAAUGUUCUGACGCUGAGGAGCGAAAGUGUGGGGAGCGAACAGG
Molecule: ribosomal RNA, 254 nt
Filed under: uncultured bacterium
Lineage: Bacteria
Description: partial 16S ribosomal RNA
Rfam family: Bacterial small subunit ribosomal RNA
Source: RNAcentral